GUGCUGCCUUUGGCAGCAUGUAUAUUAAAACUGGAACAAUACAGAAAAAAUUAGCAUGGCCCCUGUGCAAAGAUGACAAAAAUACAGAUAAUAAACCAUAAAUUAGA
Small nuclear RNA from Suncus etruscus (white-toothed pygmy shrew), 107 nucleotides. The record is from RefSeq and is a predicted model, not a curated record. Lineage: Eukaryota; Metazoa; Chordata; Mammalia; Eulipotyphla; Soricidae.